UCACAGUAUAUUAUGCCUCCACGUUAGUUGUGCUAACUCAUUGAAUUGUGGGAUGUUCCUUCAACAUAUAGUCUACUAUUAUUGCAUGACCUGUACUUGAUCUUUAGCUUUAAUUGUUUUAAAGCUUUUCCAUUUUUGUUUUCCAUGCAUGCAUCAUCAAUCAUCAUUGGCAAAGAUUUACUUUAUUUCUGCUUUUCAUUUACAAUCAUAUUUAUCGUGGCUGAAAUGUUAUGUUGUUAGUCAGAGGCAUGACUUCAUUUUCAUAAAAGAAAAUAAUUCUGCACAACUGUCUUUGAAUAUGCUCUUGUUUUCUACUUACAGUGUGAUUCCAAAACUGAAGAUGUUAACUUCAAAAAAAAACUACAGAUAUUUGUUAAGGUGCAGUUCCAAACAAGGUGUGAGAACAUGACUCGUCAUGUCGAGGGAUGAAAGGGUUUCUAUCAAAGCAUCAGACCAACGCUGAAGGGUCUGUCUAUUAUUGUAGACGUGUCUUAACAGCCUUCACUCAACCACUAUGGAUUGACUUUGUGAGGAUGAUUCUAGACAAAGAACUGAGGAUUGACUGUAGAAAUUUUACUCCCAUGGAUUAUGUCAAGGCUUGAUGUUGUACAACACAGGGAGAUCAUGUUUUGCAUAUUUGAAGGCAAGUGCUCAAGGUCAGGGCUGGCGGAUUGUGCAUCUAUUGAAAUUGAGGAAUGUCAUGGUUUUCGAAUGCCCUAAAACUCAUUGCAGAUUGUAGUUCUCCUUGAAUUUGGAGGUAGUCACCGGGGCCUAAAAUAAUUUGUCCUGGUUAUGACCUUCACCCAUCGGAUGCAGCUAUGAAGGUAGUAUUCUGAUUCGCAGCUUCUAUGGCCUAAAAGAAUGGGUGCAUAUACAAGAUGCAAAAAAAGGUAUUUGAGGUAUAUAGCACCAGCACAGAGCACAUCUAUCUACAUUGUAGAGAACACAAAUGAGUUUUUCAGUACUUCUUUUUUUUUUUGAAAUUGCAGUAUACAACUAACAUGUGUAGUAUAAGUGGACUCUGUUGACAUUGGAAAUUCAGUUUGAUUUGGCUAUACUAGCC
Long non-coding RNA from Panicum virgatum (switchgrass), 1063 nucleotides. RefSeq lists it as uncharacterized. NCBI's taxonomy places the organism in Eukaryota, Viridiplantae, Streptophyta, Magnoliopsida, Poales, Poaceae. The record is from RefSeq and is a predicted model, not a curated record. The transcript is spliced from 3 exons.